GGCAAGGUAGCUCAGUUGGUUAGAGCAUGCGGUUCAUACCCGCAGUGUCGAGGGUUCAAAUCCCCCCCUUGCUACCA
Molecule: transfer RNA, 77 nt
Filed under: Candidatus Desulfovibrio trichonymphae
Lineage: Bacteria; Pseudomonadati; Thermodesulfobacteriota; Desulfovibrionia; Desulfovibrionales; Desulfovibrionaceae
Also listed under: 1 other name
Description: tRNA-Met
Rfam family: tRNA
About the family: Transfer RNA (tRNA) molecules are approximately 80 nucleotides in length. Their secondary structure includes four short double-helical elements and three loops (D, anti-codon, and T loops). Further hydrogen bonds mediate the characteristic L-shaped molecular structure. tRNAs have two regions of fundamental functional importance: the anti-codon, which is responsible for specific mRNA codon recognition, and the 3' end, to which the tRNAs corresponding amino acid is attached (by aminoacyl-tRNA synthetases). tRNAs cope with the degeneracy of the genetic code in two manners: having more than one tRNA (with a specific anti-codon) for a particular amino acid; and 'wobble' base-pairing, i.e. permitting non-standard base-pairing at the 3rd anti-codon position.
Source: RNAcentral